UACGGAGGGUGCAAGCGUUGUCCGGAUUUAUUGGGUUUAAAGGGUGCGUAGGCGGGCUAUUAAGUCAGUGGUGAAAGCCCCAAGCUCAACUUGGGAACUGCCAUUGAUACUGAUGGUCUUGAGUACAUUUGAGGUGGGCGGAAUGUGUCAUGUAGCGGUGAAAUGCUUAGAUAUGACACAGAACACCGAUUGCGAAGGCAGCUCACUAAACUGUAACUGACGCUGAGGCACGAAAGCGUGGGGAGCAAACAGG
This 253-nucleotide ribosomal RNA is filed under the name uncultured bacterium. RNAcentral describes it as "partial 16S ribosomal RNA". It matches the Rfam family "Bacterial small subunit ribosomal RNA", at positions 524 to 776 of the family's 1533-position model. The record is from RNAcentral.